UAAGGAAUUUUGGACAAUGGGCGCAAGCCUGAUCCAGCAAUGCCGCGUGCAGGAUGAAGGCCUUCGGGUUGUAAACUGCUGUUGUACGGAACGAAACGGCUCUGUCUAAUACAUGGGGCUAAUGACGGUACCGUAAGAAUAAGCACCGGCUAACUACGUGCCAGCAGCCGCGGUAAUACGUAGGGUGCAAGCGUUAAUCGGAAUUACUGGGCGUAAAGCGUGCGCAGGCGGUUAUGCAAGACAGAUGUGAAAUCCCCGGGCUCAACCUGGGAACUGCAUUUGUGACUGCAUAGCUGGAGUGCGGCAGAGGGGGAUGGAAUUCCGCGUGUAGCAGUGAAAUGCGUAGAUAUGCGGAGGAACACCGAUGGCGAAGGCAAUCCCCUGGGCCUGUACUGACGCUCAUGCACGAAAGCGUGGGGAGCAAACA
This 427-nucleotide ribosomal RNA is filed under the name uncultured bacterium. RNAcentral's name for it is "bacterial SSU rRNA". It matches the Rfam family "Bacterial small subunit ribosomal RNA", at positions 355 to 774 of the family's 1533-position model. The record is from RNAcentral.